GGAUGUGAGGGCAAUCUGACUGUGACAUCUGUCACCCCAUUGAUCACCAGGGUUGAUUCGACUGAUCUGACUGGCUAGGCAGGUGUUCCUUUCCUCCCUCACCGCUCCAGGUGCGUCCCUCCGGAAGCUGCGUGCUCGGUCGAAGAGUGUGGGCUUUCCCAAAUAGAGAUGGACUGGUCUUUGACUGGUAAAUAGAGAUGGACUGGUCUUGGACUGGUAUAUGAGUAACUGUGCUCCCCUCCUAGAAGCUGCAAACAAGCUCUCAAAAAGUAGGCUCAGCUGUUAGGUCUUUUGUCCUUUGAUCUUCUAUCCUUCUUGCUGUCUGAAGUAUUCAUGAUGCUGGAGGUGAGG
RNAcentral lists this small nuclear RNA (351 nucleotides) under Erinaceus europaeus (western European hedgehog). Its description in RNAcentral is "7SK RNA". It matches the Rfam family "7SK RNA". From Rfam's summary of the family: 7SK was discovered as an abundant small nuclear RNA in the mid-70s but a possible function has only recently been suggested. Two independent studies have found that 7SK RNA binds the CDK9/cyclin T complex (known as elongation factor P-TEFb). The record is from Rfam by way of RNAcentral. Lineage: Eukaryota; Metazoa; Chordata; Mammalia; Eulipotyphla; Erinaceidae.